Molecule: ribosomal RNA, 305 nt
Filed under: uncultured bacterium
Lineage: Bacteria
Description: partial 16S ribosomal RNA
Rfam family: Bacterial small subunit ribosomal RNA
Source: RNAcentral
GUCCCUACGGGGGGCAGCAGUGGGGGAUAUUGCACAAUGGGGGGAACCCUGAUGCAGCGACGCCGCGUGGGUGAAGGAGUGCUUCGGCAUGUAAAGCCCUAUCGGCAGGGAAGAAGCAAGACGGUACCUGACUAAGAAGCCCCGGCUAACUACGUGCCAGCAGCCGCGGUAAUACGUAGGGGGCAAGCGUUAUCCGGAUUUAAUGGGUGUAAAGGGAGCGUAGACGGCAGUGCAAGUCUGGAGUGAAAGGCGGGGGCUCAACCCCCGGACUGCUCUGGAAACUGUACGGCUGGAGGGCCGGGGGG